RNAcentral lists this non-coding RNA (171 nucleotides) under Anoxynatronum buryatiense. The record is from RNAcentral. Lineage: Bacteria; Bacillati; Bacillota; Clostridia; Eubacteriales; Clostridiaceae.
UCCAUCGUGAGGUGGAGUGUAAAGGAAGGCGACGGCAAAUCUCUGGCCUGACGAACAGAAAUCGCAUCAGGCAUAAACUGAGGAUAAGGCCGCCUAACAGGUCAAAGUCCAAUAACUACCCAGAAUCAGUUUGUGUAAAUGCGGCAGGUAGAUGGAGAGAAAGACUGCGAC